GGUGGCUCAAUGGUAGAGCGCUUGCCUGGUAUGCAUGAGGCCCUGGGUUCGAUUCCUCAGUACCA
This 65-nucleotide transfer RNA is filed under the name Dipodomys ordii (Ord's kangaroo rat). It matches the Rfam family "tRNA". From Rfam's summary of the family: Transfer RNA (tRNA) molecules are approximately 80 nucleotides in length. Their secondary structure includes four short double-helical elements and three loops (D, anti-codon, and T loops). Further hydrogen bonds mediate the characteristic L-shaped molecular structure. tRNAs have two regions of fundamental functional importance: the anti-codon, which is responsible for specific mRNA codon recognition, and the 3' end, to which the tRNAs corresponding amino acid is attached (by aminoacyl-tRNA synthetases). tRNAs cope with the degeneracy of the genetic code in two manners: having more than one tRNA (with a specific anti-codon) for a particular amino acid; and 'wobble' base-pairing, i.e. permitting non-standard base-pairing at the 3rd anti-codon position. The record is from Rfam by way of RNAcentral. Lineage: Eukaryota; Metazoa; Chordata; Mammalia; Rodentia; Heteromyidae.